AGCAGUCGCCGCGGUAAAACGUAGGUGGCAAGCGUUGUCCGGAAUUAUUGGGCGUAAAGCGCGCGCAGGCGGCCUAUCCAGUCUGUCUUAAAAGUUCGGGGCUCAACCCCGUGAUGGGAUGGAAACUAGUAGGCUAGAGUAUCGGAGAGGAAAGCGGAAUUCCUAGUGUAGCGGUGAAAUGCGUAGAUAUUAGGAAGAACACCAGUGGCGAAGGCGGCUUUCUGGACGAAAACUGACGCUGAGGCGCGAAAGCCAGGGGAGCGAACGGGAUUAGAUACCCGAGUAGUCCCUGUCUCUUAUACA
This 303-nucleotide ribosomal RNA is filed under the name uncultured bacterium. RNAcentral describes it as "partial 16S ribosomal RNA". It matches the Rfam family "Bacterial small subunit ribosomal RNA", at positions 507 to 809 of the family's 1533-position model. The record is from RNAcentral.